Long non-coding RNA from Bombus huntii, 966 nucleotides. RefSeq lists it as uncharacterized. Lineage: Eukaryota; Metazoa; Arthropoda; Insecta; Hymenoptera; Apidae. The transcript is spliced from 2 exons. The record is from RefSeq and is a predicted model, not a curated record.
UAUAAUAAGCUAAUUAAAUUAAUAAGUGAACAAACGUUAGUAGAACAAACCUAAUAGUAGUAUGUAAAGCGGUAUAGAAGUAGAAAUAUAUAAUACGCAAUUAACACGUCGCGCACUACGUAAAUUAAUACAUCUUAACGUCACGAUUUUCGACACCUGAAUGACGCCCCCCGCGGCCCGGUUCGCCUUGCACGUUUCAUAAGGGUAGGGAUGAAUGUUUAUCCCGCGGUAAAUCGACCGUGCCCGAAUCAACAAAUUCUUGGAAAACUCGCUUGAUGUGGUAAGAAAUGUUUCCAACUACGAAGUUAUCAUGUUACACGUGGAAGGAAGGAAGAGGAAACAAACACGUACCGGAGGGCCCCGUCUCCCUUCGCUCUCCUCUUUGACUUUAAGUCAGUACACCGUGGAAAGGAAGGAUACUUAGGAAAUCAGCGUUACGAAGUAAAGCCAACAGAGCGUGAAGAGGGGUCCUACGACACAGGAUGUUCUCCUACCUUCCGUGUCGUUCGCACUCCGAGCCCCCCUACCGUAAAAUCGUCUAUUCGUGGAAAGAUACUGACAGUGCCGUUCGAAACAAUGCUACGUGCCCAUAGUUAUCUACGUGCGAAACACCCCGAUCCACCGUGCUCCAGACAACACCAGACAGUAGAAAAACUAAUUUUACUCUUUCCCCUGGAAAAAGAACGAGACGGGAGGUGUUAACAACCGAGACAUCUCCGUUCCAUUCUCGUUUGACCUUUUCAUCAAAGAAUUUUCUAAUUAAUAAGUCGAAACAAAAGACGACCGUGCAUCGUGGCAUGAAUAGAACAAUUAUCAACGUGCUUUAAGCACCACACAAUAUGUCAUUAAGCCUUCCUGGCAGCUUUUAUUCCGUUCAAGCUGUUACAUGCGGGUCGUAACGGUACCGUCCAAAUUAGGCGACCGUUGCGCGAGCGUACACUCUAAUAAACGCGCUUUUUGUUAAUA